Molecule: ribosomal RNA, 482 nt
Filed under: uncultured bacterium
Lineage: Bacteria
Description: partial 16S ribosomal RNA
Rfam family: Bacterial small subunit ribosomal RNA
Source: RNAcentral
AUUGAACGCUGGCGGCAUGCUUUACACAUGCAAGUCGAACGGUAACAGGCCGCAAGGCGCUGACGAGUGGCGAACGGGUGAGUAAUUCAUCGGAACGUGCCCAGUCGUGGGGGAUAACUACUCGAAAGAGUAGCUAAUACCGCAUACGAUCUAUGGAUGAAAGCGGGGGACCGUAAGGCCUCGCGCGCUUGGAGCGGCCGAUGUCAGAUUAGGUAGUUGGUGGGGGAAAGGCUCACCAAGCCAACGAUCUGUAGCUUGUCUGAGAGGACGACCAGCCACACUGGGACUGAGACACGGCCCAGACUCCUACGGGAGGCAGCAGUGGGGAAUUUUGGACAAUGGGCGCAAGCCUGAUCCAGCAAUGCCGCGUGCAGGAAGAAGGCCUUCGGGUUGUAAACUGCUUUUGUACGGAACGAAACGGCUCUGGUUAAUACCCGGGGCUAAUGACGGUACCGGAAGAAUAAGCACCGGCUAACUACGUG